Molecule: ribosomal RNA, 233 nt
Filed under: uncultured bacterium
Lineage: Bacteria
Description: partial 16S ribosomal RNA
Rfam family: Bacterial small subunit ribosomal RNA
Source: RNAcentral
CGGGACUGGUGAGUAAUGUCUGGGAAACUGCCCGAUGGAGGGGGAUAACUACUGGAAACGGUAGCUAAUACCGCAUAACGUCGCAAGACCAAAGAGGGGGACCUUCGGGCCUCUUGCCAUCGGAUGUGCCCAGAUGGGAUUAGCUAGUAGGUGGGGUAACGGCUCACCUAGGCGACGAUCCCUAGCUGGUCUGAGAGGAUGACCAGCCACACUGGAACUGAGACACGGUCCAG